This 433-nucleotide ribosomal RNA is filed under the name uncultured bacterium. RNAcentral describes it as "partial 16S ribosomal RNA". It matches the Rfam family "Bacterial small subunit ribosomal RNA", at positions 29 to 507 of the family's 1533-position model. The record is from RNAcentral.
AACGAACGCUGGCGGCAUGCCUAACACAUGCAAGUCGAACGAAUGCUUCGGCCUUAGUGGCGCACUGGUGCGUAACGCGUUGGAAUCUGCCUUUUGGUUCGGAAUAUCAUCUGGAAACGGCUGCUAAUACCGGCUGUUAUCGAAAGUCCAAAGAUUUAUCGCCAGAGGAUGAGCCGGCGUUGGAUUAGGUUGUUGUUGGGGUAAAGGCCUACCAAGCCGACGAUCCGUAGCUGGUCUGUGAGGAUGCUCAGCCACACUGGGCCGGAGACACGGCCCAGACUAUUACGGGAGGAAGCAGUGGGGAAUAUUGGAAAAUGGGCGGAAGGAUGAACCAGCAAGGAUGGGUGAGUGAUGAAGGUUGGGGGGUUGGAAAGCAAUUUUACACGGGAAGAUAAUGACGGUACCGGGAGAAUAAGCCCCGGCUAACUCCGUG